RNAcentral lists this long non-coding RNA (1970 nucleotides) under Salmo salar (Atlantic salmon). RNAcentral's name for it is "lncRNA (ENSSSAG00000093863.1)". Lineage: Eukaryota; Metazoa; Chordata; Actinopteri; Salmoniformes; Salmonidae. The record is from RNAcentral.
AGUGUGUGUGUGUAUGUGUACAGUAUGGGUGUGAGUGUAUGUGUAUGUGUACAGUAUGGGUGUCAGUGUAUGUGUAUGUGUACAGUAUGGGUGUCGGUGUGUGUGUAUGUGUACAGUAUGGGUGUCAGUGUGUGUGUGUAUGUGUACAGUAUGGGUGUGAGUGUAUGUGUAUGUGUACAGUAUGGGUGUCAGUGUGUGUGUAUGUGUAAAGUAUAGGUGUCAGUGUGUGUGUGUGUGUGUGUGUGUGUGUGUGUGUGUGUGUGUGUGUGUGUGUGUGUGUGUGUGUGUGUGUGUUAGUGUGUACAGUAUGGGUGUCAGUGUAUGUGUAUGUGUACAGUAUGGGUGUCAGUGUGUGUGUGUAUGUAUACAGUAUGGGUGUCAGUGUGUGUGUAUGUGUACAUUAUGGGUGUCAGUGUAUGUGUAUGUGUACAGUAUGGGUGUCAGUGUGUGUGUAUGUGUACAGAAUGGGUGUCAGUGUGUGUGUAUGUGUACAGUAUGGGUGUCAGUGUGUGUGUGUAUGUGUACAGUAUGGGUGUGAGUGUAUGUGUAUGUGUACAGUAUGGGUGUCAGUGUGUGUGUGUAUGUAUACAGUAUGGGUGUCAGUGUGUGUGUAUGUGUACAGUAUGGGUGUCAGUGUAUGUGUAUGUGUACAGUAUGGGAGUCAGUGUGUGUGUAUGUGUACAGAAUGGGUGUCAGUGUGUGUGUAUGUGUACAGUAUGGGUGUCAGUGUGUGUGUGUAUGUGUACAGUAUGGGUGUGAGUGUAUGUUUAUGUGUACAGUAUGGGUGUCAGUGUGUGUGUGUAUGUAUACAGUAUGGGUGUCAGUGUAUGUGUAUGUGUACAGUAUGGGUGUCAGUGUGUGUGUAUGUGUACAGUAUGGGUGUCAGUGUGUGUGUGUAUGUGUACAGUAUAGGUGUGAGUGUAUGUGUAUGUGUACAGUAUGGGUGUCAGUGUGUGUGUGUGUGUGUGUGUAUGUGUACAGUAUGGGUGUCAGUGUGUGUGUAUGUGGACAGUAUGGGUGUCAGUGUGUGUGUGUAUGUGUACAGUAUGGGUGUCAGUGUGUGUGUAUGUGUACAGUAUUGGUGUCAGUGUGUGUGUGUGUAUGUGUACAGUAUGGGUGUCAGUGUGUGUGUGUGUAUGUAUACAGUAUGGGUGUGAGUGUAUGUGUAUGUGUACAGUAUGGGUGUCAGUGUGUGUGUGUAUGUAUACAGUAUGGGUGUCAGUGUGUGUGUAUGUGUACAGUAUGGGUGUCAGUGUAUGUGUAUGUGUACAGUAUGGGUGUCAGUGUGUGUGUAUGUGUACAGUAUGGGUGUCAGUGUGUGUGUGUAUGUGUACAGUAUGGGUGUGAGUGUAUGUUUAUGUGUACAGUAUGGGUGUCAGUGUGUGUGUGUAUGUAUACAGUAUGGGUGUCAGUGUAUGUGUAUGUGUACAGUAUGGGUGUCAGUGUGUGUGUAUGUGUACAGUAUGGGUGUCAGUGUGUGUGUGUAUGUGUACAGUAUAGGUGUGAGUGUAUGUGUAUGUGUACAGUAUGGGUGUCAGUGUGUGUGUGUGUGUUUAUGUGUACAGUAUGGGUGUCAGUGUGUGUCUAUGUGGACAGUAUGGGUGUCAGUGUGUGUGUGUAUGUGUACAGUAUGGGUGUCAGUGUGUGUGUAUGUGUACAGUAUGGGUGUCAGUGUGUGUGUGUGUAUGUAUACAGUAUGGGUGUGAGUGUAUUUGUAUGUGUACAGUAUGGGUGUCAGUGUGUGUGUGUAUGUAUACAGUAUGGGUGUCAGUGUAUGUGUAUGUGUACAGUAUGGGUGUCAGUGUGUGUGUAUGUGUACAGUAUGGGUGUCAGUGUGUGUGUGUAUGUGUACAGUAUAGGUGUGAGUGUAUGUGUAUGUGUACAGUAUGGGUGUCAGUGUGUGUGUAUGUGUACAGUAUGGGUGUCAGUGUGUGUGUAUGUGUACAGUAUGGGUGUCAGUGUGUGUCUGU